RNAcentral lists this long non-coding RNA (1497 nucleotides) under Rattus norvegicus (Norway rat). RNAcentral describes it as "long non-coding RNA NONRATT024896". Lineage: Eukaryota; Metazoa; Chordata; Mammalia; Rodentia; Muridae. The record is from RNAcentral.
ACCUAGUUUCUCUAGUGAAGAUACUGUUUUACGGUUUAUCACACAGGCAAUAGACACUUCUGUGGAUUGCCCUCUUAUUUUGAAGUUCUUAAAACACAAUGUGCACCGUCUUCUCAUCCUCUUUGUUAGAUCAGGCAGUUGUGCCUCGAAAGUUCUUGUGGCGGGUCUCCCAAUCCUGUGAACUCAUCUGUCUUUUUAUGGAAUCUGUUCACCACACAGAGUUAGGUAUAAAACACAGAGACCCUUCAUGGACCACAAGAACAUGUUCCUUCAUUUAAACAAAUGAAAUAGUUAAGAAUGGAGCUAACAGACUGCUUUUAAUCACAGGUUAUGUCACCUUUCUCUUCAUGGUUGGCUUCUUCUAGACAGUCUCUGUCCUUCCUUGCAGGAUGGAUGGUCCUAGGGAACUAGUGAUUUGUCAGGAGUAUGGUCUACUCAUCCCAAGGUUUCAGCCAAGUUAUUAGGAGAGCCCCUCCUCUCACUUCCUGUUCCCUUUACUAAGCUUUUGUUUCCAAGGAGACACUAGGUCUUGGUAAGAUUUAGGGAUUAAGGACAUGGGGGCUUCAUGUGGAUGACUAUGCUGGAAAAUCUACCCUCUCUUCCCAAAUUUCCUUCCUGACAGAGGCAUUUCCAUAUUGCAUGCGAAGUAAGUAGCCUUGCCUGGGCAUGGCAAAGUGGUCUGUGUGAUGGACGAUGGACGAGAGAACCCUGCAACUGAGGAAGCAAGGAGGCCACCCUGCCUGGUUCUUAGCAUGGAAAUCACACUUGAUUUUCUUCCUGGAGGAAGUGUCUUGAGAAAAUAAAAAAAGGGCCCCACCCCUGGGCAGAAGCGAAGGGGGUAAAAGCGAGCUCUGGAUCUUUCAGAUGCAUGGCCGUGGUAAGACAAGUUCAGGAGCUAAGGGGACAGUCUGGGUCAAUUCCAUGGUAUCUCAGAGUCUCUAAGUCAGCUUUUGACAUCCAGCUGUUCCUCACUGGAGGUCACUGUUCAUCUGUCCCUUUCCCCUUCUCUCUCAUCAUCAGAACCUACACGGGCCACCUGUAAGAGGACACACACUCUGAUGACCAAGAGGAAGAGCAGGAGUGUGGCGUCGUUGAGGCAAUGGUGAUGGCACACAAAGACAUUGUGUUGGCUUCUGAGUCUAGAUCUAUAAAUAUAUUUAUUAUAAUAUAACAACUUAACAAUAAACAUAUACUAUGUACAAUACCAUUACAGAGAACCCUGUUUUAUAUCAUUCACAGAAAUAGCCAGUUUUGCUCCAGUGUGAUAGAUGAGGAGAGAAACGGAAUUUCAGCAUCAUCUGCGGAGUCUUGUUGACCACUAACACCUCCCUUGGAGGCAGAUGCACGCCAAUGCUCAUAUUCGCCCUGCCCCAGGCAGUUAGAAAUUUGUGCUCCAGUCCUUGGGUUCACACUUGCACCCUGUUUGACAUAAAUACUUUAAAUGACAUACAAUGUAUGUAGUUUUGUGCUUAUUACUUUUUUUAAAUAAUAAAUAAU